Molecule: small RNA, 175 nt
Filed under: Actinoplanes derwentensis
Lineage: Bacteria; Bacillati; Actinomycetota; Actinomycetes; Micromonosporales; Micromonosporaceae
Description: c-di-AMP sequence
Rfam family: c-di-AMP riboswitch aptamer (ydaO/yuaA leader)
About the family: This family represents a conserved RNA structure found upstream of the ydaO and yuaA genes in Bacillus subtilis and related genes in other bacteria. The ydaO/yuaA element is thought to act as a genetic "off" switch for the ydaO and yuaA genes in its native state.
Source: RNAcentral
GUGAGCGGACCGCCGAAUCCUGCCGCCGCUCACAGAAACGAAACGGACGGCAGGAGCGGGGGACCCAAUCUCUACGGCGCAUCGUUCUUGCGCCUCGGGGUGAAGCCGUGUGUGUGACACGGCCGGGAUGGAUCGUCCCGAACCCGACAGCUCACCUCGUAGGCGUGGAGGAUCA